RNAcentral lists this ribosomal RNA (259 nucleotides) under uncultured bacterium. RNAcentral describes it as "partial 16S ribosomal RNA". It matches the Rfam family "Bacterial small subunit ribosomal RNA", at positions 793 to 1050 of the family's 1533-position model. The record is from RNAcentral.
GUCCACACUGUAAACGCUGUCUACUAGCUGUCUGUGUGAUUUAUCACGUGGGUAGCGUAGCUAACGCGCUAAGUAGACCGCCUGGGGAGUACGGCCGCAAGGUUAAAACUCAAAUGAAUUGACGGGGGCCCGCACAAGCGGUGGAGCAUGUGGUUUAAUUCGAUGCAACGCGAAGAACCUUACCAGGACUUGACAUCCAGAGAACUUUCUAGAGAUAGAUUGGUGCCUUCGGGAACUCUGAGACAGGUGCUGCAUGGCU